UACGGAGGGUGCAAGCAUUAAUCGGAUUUAUUGGGCGUAAAGGGCUCGUAGGUGGCCAACUAAGUCAGACGUGAAAUCCCUCGGCUUAACCGGGGAACUGCGUCUGAUACUGGAUGGCUUGAGUUUGGGAGAGGGAUGCGGAAUUCCAGGUGUAGCGGUGAAAUGCGUAGAUAUCUGGAGGAACACCGGUGGCGAAGGCGGCAUCCUGGACCAACACUGACACUGAGGAGCGAAAGCCAGGGGAGCAAACGGG
This 253-nucleotide ribosomal RNA is filed under the name uncultured bacterium. RNAcentral's name for it is "partial 16S ribosomal RNA". It matches the Rfam family "Bacterial small subunit ribosomal RNA", at positions 524 to 776 of the family's 1533-position model. The record is from RNAcentral.